AAGAAAGAGAGCAUACUGCAGUACAAAACUGAAAUCAUUUUCAAUAUUUAGAGUUAAUUUUAUAGUUAUAGUAUAUAGUGUAGUCAAAAUAAAUAUAUAUUAAUUAAAUAUAUUUUACUAUUUCUAUAUUAUAAAAUAUAUUUAUAAAUAAGUCAUUACCACCCCUGGUUGCUCUUUCCUUAACUGUUUCAACCAAUGAA
Long non-coding RNA from Bombus impatiens (common eastern bumble bee), 200 nucleotides. RefSeq lists it as uncharacterized. The transcript has 2 exons. The record is from RefSeq and is a predicted model, not a curated record. Lineage: Eukaryota; Metazoa; Arthropoda; Insecta; Hymenoptera; Apidae.